This 1134-nucleotide long non-coding RNA is filed under the name Chinchilla lanigera (long-tailed chinchilla). RNAcentral's name for it is "lncRNA (ENSCLAG00000029242.1)". Lineage: Eukaryota; Metazoa; Chordata; Mammalia; Rodentia; Chinchillidae. The record is from RNAcentral.
UUCAGAGGCGGCUUCGAGGAGUCAGGAUAAGGCAUCAGCACACACGCCCUCAGUUUAAGAGGGCCGGAGGGGAGAAAAAACCCUGUGCUCAAGGCGGAGUCUCUCACCUUCCCCGCCGCCCGCCGCCCGCCGCCCGCCGCGCCGCCCCGGCCGAGUCCACCGUUGUGGAAACAGAAACCGCCCUUCCAGAGCACAGGGUGGAUAUGCAAACAGGAAAACCCUGCGGCGCCGCCUCUUGAACCCCCGGGCAAGGCGAUUUAAUUCUUUGGAGGGGGAAACGGAGGGCGACGGGCACGCGGCCCCGGGCUGCGGCCGCUGCUUCGUGCCCUCAGUCAGGAGCUCGGCGCGCAGGAUUCAGGACUCGGGACUCGGGACUCGGGACUCGAGACUCGGGACUCGGGAUUCGGGAUUCGGGACUCGGGACUCGGGACUCGGGACUCGGGACUCGGGACUCGGGACUCGGGACUCGGGAUUCGGGAUUCGGGAUUCAGGGUCUCCUACCCGAAAGCGGGUCGGAGCGUCCGGGUUACGGAGCGGAGACGAAUGGGGUUCCGGUCUACACGGAUUACACGACCCAGGGUUGUGGACAACCUCAAGCCUCGUGUGUGCUGCCCCGCGCAUUCCGGAGAUGAAAGCGGGAGACACUGCGGCUCACAGUCAUCUCGGCGGCCACGCUCGGACCCUGGCUCCACACGCAGAUCCGAGGGCUUCCGGGCCUGCUCCUCCUGCCGCAAGAGUCGCCCGCCCCCUGCAGGGGACGAGCGCAGCCUCGGGCCGAAGGCAUCUGCGCUCCGCUUUCCUCCCGCGCCCGUAGCCACUCCCCGGGUCCGGGUGUUGGGGGGUAUUCUCCACGGGGUCCUAGAACCCCAAGAAGGCCAGUGUCAGCCCUGCGAGGAAAGCCUGAACUGUUUCUCAAAGGCAGUGCACGCCUUCCGGGAGCUGUCAGGAUCCCGCAAGGUCGCCUCUGGGAUCCCAGCCUCAGGUCGUCGGUCCCUGAGUGAACAGGGAAAGCUAAAGAGGAGAAGAAAUCCAGUGGGAGGGGAGUCCGGGGGCGGGUGCUGCGUGGGGAGCGAUGUCACCCGGCAAGAAAAGGGCCAGCGGAAAACGGAAUGUCAUGAGUCUCUUUCCCCUUAA